CCGCCGGCGACCGGCGCACGGGUGAGUAACACGUAUGCAACCUGGCCGUGACAGAUGGAUAACCGGGAGAAAUCCCGCCUAAUACAACAUAAUGCCGGGAGGGGACAUCCCCUGCCGGUCAAAGGGGGCGACCCCGGGUCAUGGAUGGGCAUGCGGCGCAUUAGGUAGUUGGUGGGGCAACGGCCCACCAAGCCGACGAUGCGUAGGGGUUCUGAGAGGAAGGUCCCCCACAUUGGAACUGAGACACGGUCCAAACUCCUACGGAAGGCAGCAG
This 274-nucleotide ribosomal RNA is filed under the name uncultured bacterium. RNAcentral describes it as "partial 16S ribosomal RNA". It matches the Rfam family "Bacterial small subunit ribosomal RNA", at positions 85 to 354 of the family's 1533-position model. The record is from RNAcentral.